Molecule: long non-coding RNA, 501 nt
Organism: Amblyraja radiata (thorny skate)
Lineage: Eukaryota; Metazoa; Chordata; Chondrichthyes; Rajiformes; Rajidae
Exons: 4
Source: RefSeq, a predicted model, not a curated record
GGUGUUUCUGAAGGAGGAAGCUGGUCGCAAGCGAAGCGUUCGUGAUGAAGCCAAACCACUGUCGGUGGUAGAUGAAGCCUUGCCGAUUGAAAAGUUUCAUUGCCCUGUUUCGUUCAACACGGCAUUCCAAAACAUAUCUGAUGACUUCAAGCAAGUCUCCGUCACCCUGGAUGUGGAAACAGCGCAUGCGCUGCUCGAGGUGUCUGAGGAUCGGAAGAGGGUGAGAUGGACCGGGACCCGGAGGCGUCUCCCAGACACCGGGAAGAGGUUUACAGUCUGGCCGUGUGUGCUGGGAUCGGAGGAAUUCAAAUCGGGUAGACAUUACUGGGAGGUGGAGGUGGCGAGGUGCCAUUACUGGAGUCUGGGAGUCGCCGCAGAGUCUGUGGAGAGGAAGACACGUGUCAGACCGUCCCCGGAGACUGGAUUCUGGAGCAUCUGGCGGCAGGGUGACAGGUUUGAUGCAUUCACCUCCCCUGCAUCCCGUAUCUCCGCCCGUCCCAU